CCUCCUUCCCCAUGAGGGGAUUUGGAUGUGCAGAAGGGAAUGGAACUGCAGUCAGGUCAACCCUCAGCCACUCUGGAAGGACUGCAGUUAAAUCAUGAAGACAAUCCUCCUUCGAUUAUGAAGCAGCUGUGGAGUUUGGAUUUGUAUAUAUGUGACCAGAGGACCAACGCCAUGCUUUCUAAAAGGCCUGGAGAUCAGACAACAGUCAUCGCUCCUCCUUCUCUUUGUGUUGGUCAUUUUGGCAAAUUACUGGAAGACAGCAGUUCCAACAGAAAAAAAGUGUAUUUAAGAUAGAAGAAUCAAUUGAUAAUUAAGCUUAGGGGAGCUCAAUAAAGUCAACCUCACUAGAAGGAUGAUUUGGGAUAGAUCAUUGUGGAAGAUGAAGGCAGAUAAAAACCAUUAAGAAGGACAAAGAGGUAAGAAGUGGAAAAAGCCUGGGAACUGAGUGUCAAACCUUAUCUUCAGUGGUGGUUUUGUCACUAACAAGCCAAAUAAAUGACCUUAGG
Molecule: long non-coding RNA, 506 nt
Filed under: Equus asinus (donkey)
Lineage: Eukaryota; Metazoa; Chordata; Mammalia; Perissodactyla; Equidae
Description: lncRNA (ENSEASG00005034502.1)
Source: RNAcentral